GGUCAGAUGGCACUGGAGAAUCUGAAGUUACAGAGUUAUUCUUGGGAUUUGUUAGAAGUACUUACUUGAUCGACCACCACCAGACAGACAACAGGUGAAUGCAGGUAGGUUCUGCUCAACAUGCAGCAAGGUUUUCCAAAUGGGCACUGUGCUUUUCUGUAAUAAGGAAGCUUGUAACCACAGAGGGAGUAGUUUGUCAAGCCAUAGAAGGAGUCAUCUAAAUUUUGAUGCUAAGUAAACAUUUAACCUCAUACCAGAUUGAAGGAGGUACCUUGUUAAUUUGCACUUUGAUGAACGCUAAGGUUGUGCAGAAUUAAUGCCUUACCUGUUCUGCUCCCUGCCGUUUAGGUUAAUAAGCUUUGUAACAGUUAAAGUUAAAUUGAACCAAAAAGCUGUAGGACUGCAAGAUGCUCAGCUCUGUAGGUUAGGUUUGUCCCCCACGCUUCGCUCUCAGCAGAGGAGGUGUCGGAAGUACAGCAGUGACAGUACAAACCUGCCCCCGUGUUUUAUUGUGAUAGAACCAUUUGCUGCAUUUCUGUUUUUACAAGCAUUCCCUUCCCUUGUGCAGACUGACCAACAGAUCUUUGACCAUGAUUGGUGUAUUCUGUCCAACUGUAGGCUAGUUGAACUUCUGUAAAGUUGCCUGGAAUGCCAUUUGUUAGGCUCCAAACUCGCACAGACCUAAAUGAAGGGUUAUCCAUAUUGUGUAUAAAUCUUAAUUUCAGAGAUUUGAGGAGAUUUGUCAUUACAUUUGUAAAAUCUUGUACAGAAGAUUUUUCACUAUGUGCCUAGCUUUGGUGUCCAUUCAGCUGAAAUUAAUUAAGAAAGGUGCAUGAAGAGAAACAGAAAUAAAAAGUAUAUGUAGAGAUGACUAUUUUAUAUUACAUGGCCCAAUCUGUAUUUAUUUUCUCCCUUUUUUUGAAGUAUUUAUAAAGACCUAGUUGAAGACAGCUGUAUUUUUUGUUAAAAUAUUCAGUAGACUUGUGCCUUUUUGUCUGUAUGUGAAUAAACGCUGUACAUUUUUGCAGUA
This 1030-nucleotide long non-coding RNA is filed under the name Strigops habroptila (Kakapo). RNAcentral's name for it is "lncRNA (ENSSHBG00005019755.1)". Lineage: Eukaryota; Metazoa; Chordata; Aves; Psittaciformes; Psittacidae. The record is from RNAcentral.